Molecule: ribosomal RNA, 75 nt
Filed under: Peribacillus faecalis
Lineage: Bacteria; Bacillati; Bacillota; Bacilli; Caryophanales; Bacillaceae
Also listed under: 1 other name
Description: Bacterial small subunit ribosomal RNA
Rfam family: Bacterial small subunit ribosomal RNA
Source: Rfam by way of RNAcentral
UUUUUGGAGAGUUUGAUCCUGGCUCAGGACGAACGCUGGCGGCGUGCCUAAUACAUGCAAGUCGAGCGGACAGAU